UCAAUUAACCUAUCCAAACAUGAAGUUGGAAGCCGUAAGAGCUGUGACUUGGACCAGAAAGAAAACUAAGCAAUAUCCAAAUGAAGCUUUGUGAACUGAUUACUUUGCAUAUAAAAUAACUAAAUGAGGAUCUCUGGCAUCUAUCAUCCAUUUUGAUCGCUUUCUUUGUUCCCAUUUCCUCUUUCCAAAAAAAUGAGGAA
RNAcentral lists this long non-coding RNA (200 nucleotides) under Elaeis guineensis (African oil palm). RNAcentral's name for it is "long non-coding RNA (EGUI_LNC019464)". Lineage: Eukaryota; Viridiplantae; Streptophyta; Magnoliopsida; Arecales; Arecaceae. The record is from RNAcentral.